RNAcentral lists this ribosomal RNA (253 nucleotides) under uncultured bacterium. RNAcentral's name for it is "partial 16S ribosomal RNA". It matches the Rfam family "Bacterial small subunit ribosomal RNA", at positions 524 to 776 of the family's 1533-position model. The record is from RNAcentral.
UACGUAGGGUGCAAGCGUCAAUCGGAAUUACUGGGCGUAAAGCGCGCGCAGGCGGUUUUGUAAGUCUGACGUGAAAUCCCCGGGCUCAACCUGGGAAUUGCGUUGGAGACUGCAAGGCUAGAAUCUGGCAGAGGGGGGUAGAAUUCCACGUGUAGCAGUGAAAUGCGUAGAGAUGUGGAGGAACACCGAUGGCGAAGGCAGCCCCCUGGGUCAAGAUUGACGCUCAUGCACGAAAGCGUGGGGAGCAAACAGG